This is a non-coding RNA of Cherax quadricarinatus, 392 nucleotides long. The record is from RefSeq and is a predicted model, not a curated record. Lineage: Eukaryota; Metazoa; Arthropoda; Malacostraca; Decapoda; Parastacidae.
AAGCCAGAACUAUGGCAUCAAUGUGGUGCAGGGGCCAGAACUAUAGCAUCAAUGAGGUGCAGGAGCCAGAGCUAUGGCAUCAACAAGAUAGAGCCAGAAUUAUAACAUCAAUGAGGUGCAGGAGCCAGAACUAUGGCAUCAAUGCAAAGCCACCAUUUUUUUUUUUUAGAAUCCUACUUCAUACAUGGGAUAAUUCUUGGAGUUAUGUUAAACACUAAUGAACAACACUAUGCAAUUCAAGACUGACUGCAAACAACAAUAUUCAGCAAUAAAAUACAAAGAAACUUUGUCUCUUCAUGGACGUUAUUUUGUACAAAGUUCGAAAAUUUCUUGCUAAAAAAUUUUUUAAUAAUUUCAGAGUAAAAUAAAAUACAGUACCACUGUACUCAAAA